CGUUGUGCGAAUCCAUUCGCUUAGCGAGUCUGCAUAAUUCUACAACACAAAUUCUGCAGAAUUAUGCAACUCAAACCCCAUUUACCAAUUUUAACUAUUUUUUCCAACUUCUAACCAUCCUAAUUCGUGUUAUAUGCCUAAUUAGACUUAAGUAAGUGUUUCUAAACCUUUCUAACAUCAAUUUAAAGUGUUUAUGAACCAAUUCCCUCUUCAAAACUCCAAGUUUCUCAACCUAGGGACCCAAAUCUCAUUCUACUACUUUUGACAUGUUUUUGAUCAACUUAAAGGCUCAACCCAGUCCUAUUUGACUUACCAAGACCCUCCCCCACAUACCAAAUGCACACUAAACCCCAAAU
This 356-nucleotide long non-coding RNA is filed under the name Vigna radiata. RNAcentral describes it as "long non-coding RNA (VRAD_LNC003331)". Lineage: Eukaryota; Viridiplantae; Streptophyta; Magnoliopsida; Fabales; Fabaceae. The record is from RNAcentral.